Molecule: non-coding RNA, 73 nt
Organism: Spinacia oleracea (spinach)
Lineage: Eukaryota; Viridiplantae; Streptophyta; Magnoliopsida; Caryophyllales; Amaranthaceae
Source: Rfam
GCGUCUGUAGCUCAAUGGACAUAGCGUCUGUUGCUUAAGCAGAAGGUCAUAGGUUCGACCCCUACCUGACACA